This 155-nucleotide ribosomal RNA is filed under the name Brassica napus (rape). Its description in RNAcentral is "rRNA 5_8S_rRNA". It matches the Rfam family "5.8S ribosomal RNA". Rfam says of the family: 5.8S ribosomal RNA (5.8S rRNA) is a component of the large subunit of the eukaryotic ribosome. The record is from RNAcentral. Lineage: Eukaryota; Viridiplantae; Streptophyta; Magnoliopsida; Brassicales; Brassicaceae.
GACUCUCGGCAACGGAUAUCUCGGCUCUCGCAUCGAUGAAGAACAUAGCAAAAUGCGAUACUUGGUGUGAAUUGCAGAAUCCCGUGAACCAUCGAGUCUUUGAAUGCAAGUUGCGCCCAAGCCUUCUGACCGAGGGCACGUCUGCCUGGGUGUCA